This 254-nucleotide ribosomal RNA is filed under the name uncultured bacterium. RNAcentral's name for it is "partial 16S ribosomal RNA". It matches the Rfam family "Bacterial small subunit ribosomal RNA", at positions 524 to 776 of the family's 1533-position model. The record is from RNAcentral.
UACGGAGGAUCCAAGCGUUAUCCGGAAUUACUGGGCGUAAAGAGUUGCGUAGGUGGCAUAGUAAGCAAGUAGUGAAAGCGUUCGGCUCAACCGAAUAUCCAUUACUUGAACUGCUAAGCUAGAGGAUGAGAGAGGUUAUUGGAAUUCCCAGUGUAGGAGUGAAAUCCGUAGAUAUUGGGAGGAACACCGAUGGCGUAGGCAGAUAACUGGCUCAUUCCUGACACUAAGGCACGAAAGCGUGGGGAGCAAACGGG